ACUAGGAUGUCCGAGUGGUUAAGGCGUUGGACUUAAGUUCAAAUUUACGGAUGUAUGCGUUGGUUCGAACCCCACUCCUGAUA
Molecule: non-coding RNA, 83 nt
Organism: Nematostella vectensis (starlet sea anemone)
Lineage: Eukaryota; Metazoa; Cnidaria; Anthozoa; Actiniaria; Edwardsiidae
Source: Rfam